Long non-coding RNA from Melanaphis sacchari, 205 nucleotides. RefSeq lists it as uncharacterized. NCBI's taxonomy places the organism in Eukaryota, Metazoa, Arthropoda, Insecta, Hemiptera, Aphididae. The record is from RefSeq and is a predicted model, not a curated record. The transcript has 4 exons.
UUAAAUUUGUUCUUUGAAAAACAAAGUUGUGAUUAUCUAAGUUGUUAUAUUUUUGUAAUUAUCAAAACAAAAAAAAAUAGCUAUGAUUUCAUUUAAAGUUUUAAUAAUAUUAACUUUUACAAUUAAUAUAAGCCAUUGUGAAUUUUCUGAAGAUCAAAUUCAAAUAGAAUGCAAAUUAUGCAAUGAAUUUUUAGUAUAUGUCGAU